ACUCCAUAAGUUUUUUUUUUUUUUUUUUUUUUUUUUUUUUUUUUUUUUUUUUUUUUUUUUUUUUUUUUUUUUUUUUUUUUUUUUUUUUUUUUUUUUUUUUUUUUUUUUUUUUUUUUUUUUUUUUUUUUUUUUUUUUUUUUUUUUAUUUUUUUUUUUUUUUUUUUUUUUUUUUUUUUUUUUUUUUUUUUUUUUUUUUUUUUUUUUUUUUUUUUUUUUUUUUUUUUUUUUUUUUAUUCUAUUCGUUACUUUUUAUAUCUGGUUUUUUAGGAUUUAAAUUUAAUUUAGGUUUUUUUGUUUUAUAUUAGUUAUUUUUUUUUUUACUUAUUUUAUAAGGGAUAAUCUUUAUAUGUUUUUAUAAUUUUUUUUGUUUAUUAUUUUUCUUAUUUUUAGUAUUUUUUAUUUAGUUUUUAAUAAAUUUGGGUAAUUUUUUAUGAUUUUUUUUUAUUUAUUUUUUUACUAAGAUUAUUUAAUUAUUCUUUUGAUAUUUUUAAUAAUGAUUUAAUUAGUAAUUUUUAUUAUUUUUUAAUAAUGAAUUAGACAACUUUUUCUCUUAAUUGUUUAACAAAAACAUUUCUUUUAGUUUAUUUUAAAGGUAUUUUCUGCUCUAUGAAUAAAAUUAUUAAAUGGCCGCAGUAUAUUGACUGUGCAAAGGUAGCAUAGUAAUUAGUUGCUUGAUUAGCAUCUUGUAUGAAUGGUUAUAUAAGGGGUAAUUUUUAUUUUUUCUAUUUUUUGAAUUUAAUUUUUGGGUUAAAAGGCUUAUUUGUUUUAUUGGGACGAAAAGACCCUAUAGAGCUUAAUUAUUAUUUUUUUAUAUUAUCUUUUGUUUAUUUUAUUUUUUUGUAUUUAUUUAGUUGGGGUGAUUUCUAAAUUUAAUCUUUAGAUUAUUAUUUCAUGUUUUUAUGUUUUGUUUGGAUUAAUUUUUUUGAUAUUUAUAAGAUAAAGUUACCUUAGGGAUAACAGCGUAAUUUUAGUGGGGAGUUCUUAUUUAUACUAAAGUUUUCGACCUCGAUGUUGAAUUAAGAUUUUUUCGGGGGGUAGGUUUUUCGUUAAUAAGUCUGUUCGACUUUUAAAUUCUUACAUGAUUUGAGUUCAAACCGGCGUGAGCCAGGUUGGUUUCUAUCUGGUAUUUAUUUAGUUUCAUUAGUACGAAAGGACCUUGAUUCUUGAGUUUAUUAACUUAUUUAUUUAUGUUGAAUUUAAUUAAUUU
RNAcentral lists this ribosomal RNA (1207 nucleotides) under Kalasha nativa. Its description in RNAcentral is "16S ribosomal RNA". The stretch from base 953 to 1111 matches the Rfam family "Archaeal large subunit ribosomal RNA", at positions 2544 to 2703 of the family's 2987-position model. Lineage: Eukaryota; Metazoa; Arthropoda; Insecta; Hemiptera; Cicadellidae. The record is from RNAcentral.